RNAcentral lists this ribosomal RNA (401 nucleotides) under uncultured Desulfobulbus sp. RNAcentral describes it as "bacterial SSU rRNA". It matches the Rfam family "Bacterial small subunit ribosomal RNA", at positions 988 to 1382 of the family's 1533-position model. The record is from RNAcentral. Lineage: Bacteria; Pseudomonadati; Thermodesulfobacteriota; Desulfobulbia; Desulfobulbales; Desulfobulbaceae.
CCCGGAGACCCUUAGGAAACUAGGGGGUGCUUCCAUCUGGAAGAAUCUGGAGACAGGUGCUGCAUGGCUGUCGUCAGCUCGUGUCGUGAGAUGUUGGGUUAAGUCCCGCAACGAGCGCAACCCUUGCCUUUAGUUGCCAGCAGUUCGGCUGGGCACUCUAAAGGGACUGCCGGUGUUAAACCGGAGGAAGGUGGGGAAUGACGUCAAGUCCUCAUGGCCUUUAUGACCAGGGCUACACACGUACUACAAUGGCGCAUACAAAGGGCAGCGAUACCGCGAGGUGGAGCCAAUCCCAAAAAGUGCGUCCCAGUCCGGAUUGCAGUCUGCAACUCGACUGCAUGAAGUUGGAAUCGCUAGUAAUUCGAGAUCAGCAUGCUCGGGUGAAUGCGUUCCCGGGCCUU